This 415-nucleotide ribosomal RNA is filed under the name uncultured bacterium. RNAcentral describes it as "bacterial SSU rRNA". It matches the Rfam family "Bacterial small subunit ribosomal RNA", at positions 362 to 775 of the family's 1533-position model. The record is from RNAcentral.
UAUUGGUCAAUGGGCGGGAGCCUGAACCAGCCAAGUCGCGUGAGGGAAGACGGUCCUACGGAUUGUAAACCUCUUUUGCCGGGGGACAAACGGCGGCACGCGGGCCGUCCUGAGGGUAUCCGGAGAAAAAGCAUCGGCUAACUCCGUGCCAGCAGCCGCGGUAAUACGGAGGAUGCGAGCGUUAUCCGGAUUUUUUGGGUUUAAAGGGUGCGUAGGCGGGAUGCCAAGUCAGCGGUCAAAUACGGGGGCUCAACCUGCGUCCGCCGUUGAAACUGGCGUUCUUGAGUGGGCGAGAAGUACGCGGAAUGCGUGGUGUAGCGGUGAAAUGCAUAGAUAUCACGCAGAACCCUGAUUGCGAAGGCAGCGUACCGGCGCCAUACUGACGCUGAAGCACGAAAGCGUGGGUAUCGAACAG